UUAGUCCCUAAAAAUGGUAGUAAAAUCGAUAGUUUUCGGUAAAACUCCCACGGCCAUUAAACAAUGUUAAGGGUUUUAUUCAGGCUAAUUAACGUCUUUAUCAGUCGUUAAGUGAAGCGGUAAGUUUUUGUUUGACAAUCGCGUACAAGACGCUUUAGAAUUCAGACAAAGGAAAUUGACAAUGGGGUUAAAUUCCCAAAAUAAUCGUAUGCAUUAUGCAAGCAUUACCAAGCGCAACCGCACUUCCUAGCACUCAAUCUUGUUUCCUGCAUAGAUCUCUUCGUGUGACUCAGAAACUUGUUAAAUAAGCCGGUAAUUAGCCUAGCUGCUAUCAUAAUCAAUCUUUACAGAGAAUUUGUUCUCCAGUGCUUACGUGAGUACUAAAUACACACUUGUUUGCUGAACUUUCUAAACAAAGAUCUUAGCGACGAAUGGCUGCCACACUCAAGACUAAACAACAGGAAAAAAAACACUUGAUAGAGGCAAUGAAAGCCGAAUCGCAUGUGAUGGCAAAGGGAAGACAAGAUGUAUUAUCACUGGAGAAAAUGAUGGUGCAAAGUUUGAGAGUUUGUGGCCCCGGAAGAAAGUCUUUAGGAUUCCGAUACAAAUAUUCAAAUCUAAACACAACUCAACAAACAUCCAAUGGACUCCAAAUUCGUGAAAUCGUUGGAGUCCUUGAAGAUAGCUCUAAGUCUUUGCCACGUAUUACAAAUAAUGUUGGAGCUAAGAGUGAUUUGAAUGGAAAAUGUGGAUUAUUGACUUUGACCACGACAAAUGUAGCGCUUACCUGGGCAACCCGUCAGAAUGGUCUCGAGGCGACAGAGCAAACAAGCAUUCGUGUCACUCCGAUAGAAACAGUGCUAAAACGACAACACAAACCCAAGAAAUAUACCGCAGCAAAGUACAGGACGACUUUGAAAUCUUUCAAAAGAAUGAGAGAAAAACUAUCGCAAUCAAAAGUCAAACGCCAUUCCAGGGAAAAUAGCGAAGCGCAAGAGGAAUGGACUGAUGGAAUAACGGAUUUUGGAUCGAGUCAUGUGUCGCCGGCAAAAAGCGAUCGCGCGUUAACAAGAGCUAGUGGAGAAAGAACAAUGGAGUCACGUGGUAAGGACACAUUGCCGAAAAUUCGAGUCAACUGAUUUUAUGGUCAAAAUGACUAUAAGACCCGUUUACACUGGCAAUUUUGUCGCGCGUCACGAGGUGCGUUCACGAGGUGCGUUCACGAGGUGCGAAGUUCUUGCAAGUGGUAACAAGCCUUUAAAGGUAUAAUGAUGAGGAUAUUUUUUUACCUAAGGGUCGAGAACUUAGAAAUGUCUAAUAAAUUUUGCUCCAUUGCAACUCUCUUUUGUGGGAUUUACCCCAAUAAUGUUGAUCUACAGUCGAUCUUGCAGACCCCUGCCAUGCAAUGAAUGUUUUUCCGAAGCUGUUCUCUCUUUUUAGAUGCAAUGCAGUUCCUGAUUUAAGAGCUAUAACUAUUUCUUUUUUUUCCGCUUCGAUUUUAGACAAUGCUGAAUGGCUAACCCAAUAGUCUAUUCCACGAUACGAUCUUGAAAACCAGGCUUUCGUUUAGAAGAUAGGCAAGCGUUGACCAAGGGCGUUUAAUUAUUCCAAAAUAUAUAAUACUUUCCAUAGCAAAGCACAAAUUAACCUGGCUUCUAGGUCUCCUAUAGUUAACCGACAAAAAUAUCUAGAACCUGACUUGAAUCUGACCGGUUGCACAAAGGUUCAAGGGCUCUUGGAACGAGAUUGCUACAGAAUUUGCCUGCCCUCCCCGUCAGUGUUUUCUGCGCUUGACUUGUUUUAACUUGAAGGUGUAAUUAUGAGGUUCUUUUAGAAGUUUUUUACUCAAACUUGCCCCUUCCUCUGAACAUUCUGGUGACCACAUCCGUAUCCCGUCAGACCCCACGGGCGUAGCGGAUUAUCCGGGAACUUCAUUGUACGUGACGCCAGCCGUGUAAUGGCGCCAAACCCUGCUGCGAGUUGCCUUGUAUUCCUGUUUACUCUACUUUGGAGAAAGAAAGUCAAUCAGCCAACCUUUGUUGUUGUUUAUACUUGGAAAAACAGCUGUUUGUUCACAAGAAAAUUUAAAAUAACAACCUUCUACGAAUGAAGUCUGAUACAUUAUUGACGACACUUCAUUGAAAAUAUCUCGUUUGAAUUAGCCGAUGGAAAUCGAUGCUUUGUGAAUCGAUGCUUUGUGACACUUCCAUUCCCAAUUGAGUUGUUCAUGUGGGAUACGGGUCUUUUGCUGUAUAAUUUAUUGUAUAAUUUAUAAUCUAUUUGAAAUUUGUACAAAAUAAGGUUAAAAUUAAAAUUAGUAUUUCUUGAAGUAUAUAUUUUAUUACCUUUUCAAAUAAAAAAAUACAAAGCAUGAAUAUCCCCUUCCUCAAUCCUUCGGUAAAGAAAUCUCGAGCACGCUCAAGUUAAUUACAUCCGGUGCGCAUGCGUGUAGUGCAGGAAGCUGCUCGAGUGAACUUGACGAUGACGAUGGGAGCAAUAACAUCCCACGGCCUGGGGCCUGGAUACUGCUAGAACCGACUUAACCAAAUAAAGAUGCUCUUUUCAAAUAUUUCUGAGCUAGGCUGAAAUUCGCGUACUGAUAAACACUCUCUUCGCCCACCGUCUGGUAAAAUGAGACAACCGCUAUUGAGGGGGAUGUGCGGUCAUAUGCUGCUAUGCACCAUGGGAUAGCUAGGCUACAAUUCACGUACUAGUAAUUAUUCUCUUCGCCCUUCGUCUUGUAAGAUGAGACCAUCACUAUAAAGGGGUAGUACCUUGAUAUUUCGCCCUUCGUCUUGUAAGAUGAGACCAUCACUAUAAAGGGGUAGUGCCUUGAUAUGACGCUAAUCACUACGGGAAUACCUUACAGUCCGAUUCAGUCCUCUGCUUUUUUUUACCAAAAUUUUUUUUUUACCUUAUUUUAGAAAACACGGGCUACUAGAAUAUAUAGAAUAUAUAUAACUAUAUAUUUAAACUAUUCUCGUAACAUUUACUAUACUUGUAACAUUUAAGAGCUUGACUACGAUUUUUGAUAAUCCCAAUACCAAAGAUUAACAAAGUGUCGGGCACGGGACUUGAUUCUCCCCAGACAUUCUUAUGUCAAAACCGAUGAUUUAUAGUUAAUAGCUUUGUAAUGAAAAGUUAAAAAAAUAACAACUUCCGAAGCAUCCUUACAAAUAAUCCGAAGAUGGAUGGGAUACAGAAUGUAUUUGAUAAAAGUUUGCUAUUCUUGUCAGCGUAAACAUACGUUACAACAUAUGGAUAUGCUAUUACGAGACACCAAAGAUUCUUUGAGACGUUUAAGGUGUCGAGCUGCUCGUGGUACAUUAACCCUGCGUCUGGAGUCGCUAGGGAUCGGGUCGCGUCUGUUAACGACAUAUAAAAACAGCAUUAACUCAUCGCAUGCACGCAAGGAAUAAAGGAUUGAAGAUGGAAAACCCACCGCCAUCCCCCACAUCUCCUAACCCCCUACCGAGAGAGAGGAAGCCAUGAUGCCCAUUGGGUGUGGUCAUCACCCAUAACUAGCAUUCUCGUUACCUCAUCUCUCUUUCUUUUCCUGCACCCCACUGAGAGCAAGAGAAAGACAUGAUUUCCGAUGGGCGUGGCUCUCACCCCUGGCCCCUUCGUUCCAGUUCUGUAACCCUUUCCCUUCACUCCCACUGAGAGUAAAAAUAAGACGUGAUAUGCAAUGGGCGUGGUUAUCGCCCAUCUCUCGUAUCCCGAAAUAUGUUUAGUAUCAUUGUUUUUUUUCUUAUGUUAACUCCCAUGGUAUGAUAUUGUAGUAAGCGUUUGUGAAUUUACCCAAGCUAAUUUUCUAUGUCCUUAAAAUCAUGAGUACAUUCUAGUAACUGUAGUAGGUAUUGAAUAGCUCAAGAUGGUUGCGUUUUAGAAACAUCAGUGAGAGUUAGGAAAUGACAUCCACCACUUGUGUCAAGUAGCGGCGGAGAGGAUGAGGGUUCUCCGUCAGCUAAUCCAUAUCCGUUAUACCUCAAUGGCAUAUACUACCCCCAGUAGAGGAAUUCCAGGAAUCCCGUCACUGACGACACAGUGCACGCGCCAGCCAGUCCAUAACGCGCGAUUAAGGAGCGGGAUAUCAUAACACUAGAUAAUACCGGAGGUCAAAUAUAGUAUAUAUUGGCAAAUGGUCACAAGAUUUUAUCAGAUAACGAAGAGGCUUUUACAAGCGUCAAAAAACAAACAAGAAUAAAAUCGUACGACUUACAAAGGAAUCGGUGGUAAGGCUUGUGUAGUACUAACGCCAAAAGAAGAAGGAAGAGAACGCAUUGUAAAACUCUGACAAGGUUUUGAUUGAAGUUGAGCGCCGAAUAACGUCUCCUCAACGAAGCCCUGGAGAGAAAAGUGGAAGAAAAAAGGACGAUAGGAAGACAACUACUGCUAUUUCAAAUAAGAACAACUUGCAGAAUUGAGGACAGGAUAACUUUGAGAAGAGGUUGAUUCCUUGUAAUUAGGCUCAAAUAUAUAACGAGGUCUUCGAUAAUAGAGGUCAUAAGUAAUACCAUCCCAUUCAAUUUAGAAAAGUACAUUCUUAAAAAUAAGGAAGACGUCGUAUAGAAUGUCAGAUCACAUCAAUACAUUUACCUAUUAAUAAUCACUAUCUGAUUGGUAUCGUAAUUGGACUAAUUGGACUAUUGUGAAAUAUUCAUCAUGGUUCACGCCUCGGUUAUGAGCAAGCUAAUGAAAGUUGCCUUUCUCCUUAUACUUUUCGCGAGUGACUCAGGGGCCGUGUUGACCGUUAUACACAGAGGGCGGGUGGGAAGACUUCGGAGUGGAAACAGAGAACUCCCUAAAGCUGAAGAGCAGUACAUCAAACCCGCUGGACCGCGAAUGCUUGGCAAGUUCACAUUUGUGAAAAAGAGGCAUAGCUUGGAAAUCCCUGUUAAGCAUUCUCUUCGAACGAGAUUGAAUUUGUAGAAAAACAGAUAACCCAUUGACUACAAAACGACUCAAGAGAAAAGAAAACAACGAACACGACGGCUUCAAGCUCACGUCUCAUUUACUUAGUAACCAUUAAUUAUCAUAUUGUAUUGUGUUGAAGUGAUGCGAAGCCCACGUCUCAUAUUUACUUAGUAACCAUCAUAUUAUCAUAUUGUGUUGUGUUGAAGUGUUAGUGCUGAUGCUGAUGAUGUUGAUAAAGGUGAUGAUUAUGACCACGUGUUUUCGAUGGUGGUGGUGAUAAUGAUGAUUGAGCUUUUAACUCACAUAAUUGCUAAUUGUGUUGGUUAGGAAGAUAAUAAUGACGUCAUCUAUGAUGCUGCGUGAUUUUGAAUAAUUGUCAUGACGAAGACAAAUAUAAGUCUGAAACCUGUUUUUGAGGGGUAUUGAAAUAGCAAUAACUGAGAAUAAAAAAGAAAUUCAAAAUA
Long non-coding RNA from Nematostella vectensis (starlet sea anemone), 5381 nucleotides. RefSeq lists it as uncharacterized. The transcript has 2 exons. The record is from RefSeq and is a predicted model, not a curated record. NCBI's taxonomy places the organism in Eukaryota, Metazoa, Cnidaria, Anthozoa, Actiniaria, Edwardsiidae.